UGUGAUGUUUGUUGGGGUAUAGGCUAGUUUUAUGCCCCUAUAUGUUUGAAAAUGUGUUUAUGCAUGUUUUAGAAUAGAUGAAUGUGUGUUGGGAAGUUUGGAUGGCUGAAUGUGGGAUGGCAGAAUCGGGUUCUGCCGCCCAGGAGGAUCCAGGUUCGGCCGCCGAACCUGCUAGAGGAGGCAGUUUUGGCCGCCUAAGCUCGCCCCCGAAAGUUUGGACUUUCGGCUCUAGAAGGGAGUUUCGGCCGCCGAACCUGCCCCCGAAGGUUUGGACUUUCGGAUCUGGAGGAAGUUUCGGCCGCCGAACCUGCCCCC
This 315-nucleotide long non-coding RNA is filed under the name Manihot esculenta (cassava). Its description in RNAcentral is "long non-coding RNA (MESC_LNC003002)". Lineage: Eukaryota; Viridiplantae; Streptophyta; Magnoliopsida; Malpighiales; Euphorbiaceae. The record is from RNAcentral.